UCCGUAGGCGGGUAAUUAAGUCAGAGGUGAAAUCCCACAGCUCAACUGUGGAACUGCCUUAGAUACUGGUUAUCUUGAGUUUUAGUGAAGUAGAUAGAAUAUGUAGUGUAGCGGUGAAAUGCAUAGAUAUUACACAGAAUACCGAUUGCGAAGGCAGUCUACUAACUAACAACUGACGCUAAUGGACGAAAGCGCGGGGAGCGAACAGGAUAGAUACCCUGGUAGUCC
Molecule: ribosomal RNA, 228 nt
Filed under: uncultured bacterium
Lineage: Bacteria
Description: partial 16S ribosomal RNA
Rfam family: Bacterial small subunit ribosomal RNA
Source: RNAcentral